This 1274-nucleotide ribosomal RNA is filed under the name Ehrlichia sp. Its description in RNAcentral is "bacterial SSU rRNA". It matches the Rfam family "Bacterial small subunit ribosomal RNA", at positions 199 to 1495 of the family's 1533-position model. Lineage: Bacteria; Pseudomonadati; Pseudomonadota; Alphaproteobacteria; Rickettsiales; Anaplasmataceae. The record is from RNAcentral.
GGGGAAAGAUUUAUCGCUAUUAGAUGAGCCUACGUUAGAUUAGCUAGUUGGUAAGGUAAUGGCUUACCAAGGCUAUGAUCUAUAGCUGGUCUGAGAGGACGAUCAGCCACACUGGAACUGAGAUACGGUCCAGACUCCUACGGGAGGCAGCAGUGGGGAAUAUUGGACAAUGGGCGAAAGCCUGAUCCAGCUAUGCCGCGUGAGUGAAGAAGGCCUUCGGGUUGUAAAGCUCUUUCAAUAGGGGAGAUAAUGACGGUACCUAUAGAAGAAGUCCCGGCAAACUCCGUGCCAGCAGCCGCGGUAAUACGGAGGGGGCAAGCGUUGUUCGGAAUUAUUGGGCGUAAAGGGCACGUAGGUGGACUAGUAAGUUAAAAGUGAAAUACCAAAGCUUAACUUUGGAGCUGCUUUUAAUACUGCUAGACUAGAGGUCGAAAGAGGAUAGCGGAAUUCCUAGUGUAGAGGUGAAAUUCGUAGAUAUUAGGAGGAACACCAGUGGCGAAGGCGGCUAUCUGGUUCGAUACUGACACUGAGGUGCGAAAGCGUGGGGAGCAAACAGGAUUAGAUACCCUGGUAGUCCACGCUGUAAACGAUGAGUGCUAAAUGUGAGGAUUUUAUCUUUGUAUUGUAGCUAACGCGUUAAGCACUCCGCCUGGGGACUACGGUCGCAAGACUAAAACUCAAAGGAAUUGACGGGGACCCGCACAAGCGGUGGAGCAUGUGGUUUAAUUCGAUGCUACGCGAAAAACCUUACCACUUUUUGACAUGAAGGUCGUAUCCCUCCUAACAGGGGGAGUCAGUUCGGCUGGACCUUACACAGGUGCUGCAUGGUUGUCGUCAGCUCGUGUCGUGAGAUGUUGGGUUAAGUCCCGCAACGAGCGCAACCCUCAUCCUUAGUUACCAACAGGUAAUGCUGGGCACUCUAAGGAAACUGCCAGUGAUAAACUGGAGGAAGGUGGGGAUGAUGUCAAAUCAGCACGGCCCUUAUAAGGUGGGCUACACACGUGCUACAAUGGCAACUACAAUAGGUUGCGAGACCGCAAGGUUUAGCUAAUCCAUAAAAGUUGUCUCAGUUCGGAUUGUUCUCUGCAACUCGAGAGCAUGAAGUCGGAAUCGCUAGUAAUCGUGGAUCAUCACGCCACGGUGAAUACGUUCUCGGGUCUUGUACACACUGCCCGUCACGCCAUGGGAAUUGGCUUAACUCGAAGCUGGUGUGCUAACCGCAAGGAAGCAGCCAUUUAAGGUUGGGUCAGUGACUAGGGUGAAGUCGUAACAAG